GUUGAUGUUUCGAUGCGUCUUUUGCGGCGAAGACUACGUGAGCAAGGAAGAACUGGUGAAUCAUCUGGACCUGCAUAAGUUUAAACAAGAAAUCGUAGACUAGCGUUCGAGUGAGCAGCUAGUUGCUAACAUGAAUGAUGACGGUACGGAUAGGCAUACGAUCGACGAGGAAUCCAGACUGCUUUCUGAUGAUACUGGGAAUGAUAGUACACACCUCACCUCAAAACAGCAAUAUUGGUGCGACAUAUGUGAAACUACUUUUCCUAAUUAUGCCCAAGCCAAAUAUCAUAGGUUGACGAGGCACACAGAAGGGAAGCACAAAUGUCCACAUUGUUUCAAAAAAUGGCACCGGAAAGAAGACUUUAAAAUACAUAUGACA
This is a long non-coding RNA of Ochlerotatus camptorhynchus, 379 nucleotides long. RefSeq lists it as uncharacterized. The record is from RefSeq and is a predicted model, not a curated record. Lineage: Eukaryota; Metazoa; Arthropoda; Insecta; Diptera; Culicidae. The transcript has 3 exons.